Non-coding RNA from Mus caroli (Ryukyu mouse), 2614 nucleotides. The record is from RefSeq and is a predicted model, not a curated record. Lineage: Eukaryota; Metazoa; Chordata; Mammalia; Rodentia; Muridae.
CCAAUUUCAUGAGACGGUGCUGCUACAUUAUCCUGCCUUCUUGCAUGAGGAAUUCAAGGCCACAUGCGGUUUCGUCACUUGUCAAAGUGGCAGUGUGGAACCGAGGUCUACAGUGGCUGCUGAGGUCAGACUUGAAGAAAUGACUCACAUGCAAGGCUGAUCUACAUAAGUAGCCUGUGCUAAGACUGCCAUUUGGUAGAACAAUCUACAUCACAAGACUCCACAUUUCCUGUUACCCAAGGACUUGGCAUCUGAGAUAAUUCUAACAUGAAACUGGCAUCUUCAGUUUGCUCCUGUCAUAAGUAGAGCCUGCCAUGAAUCCUAUCUCAGACGACAGAUUUUUUCAGUGAAAGAGUAACAGAACAGAGCCUCAGUGACCGCAGAGGAGGAAGGAGAAGAAAAUUCUACUUGCUCAUGAAGACUCAAGACCUGCUCAGGGCAACUAGAAAAUUCAGCCCUGGUGAAGCCAAGAUAAUCUAUGGGCCAAGAACAUGCAGAGAUUGUAUUUUACAUUGUAUCUGAGACACAGAUGCUCUGCUCAUAAACAUUCCUCAUGCCUUCUUCAAGCUGUCCAAGCAAAACAUGAUUUGCUUUUAAAUUUGAAUAUCUUUAAAAAUUAACAAAUUUAAGACUGUCCUAUCUCAAUCUCCCACAUACUAGGAUGGUGGAUGUGUGCCACCUUCCCUGGCAGCAGGUGGGCGCCACCUCUUCCGGCCAUGACGUAACAUGUUUAACUGACUCCUUCUUCAGCAUCUCCAUGCUCUGCAGGUGCAGCUUCGAUGGACCAUGGCGAUAUUGCCCCAUGACUAUCAAUCACACUGAGAUGUAGUCCACACAUCCAGCAAGCCACCACUCAUGGGAUAGGGGUUAGGCAAAAGGAACAACUAAGACAGUAGAGGAGCCCAGCACUCUGAACCCCUAACCAUGCCUUUGGUGGAUUCCUUUGGUAAAGUUUUCCUUUGUGGGUUUCUUUCAGCACUUGACCCAUAGCCCAUGGAAUGUGUCAGCUCUAAUUGCCUGUGUGGAUUGGCACAAGUCGUGCCUCAAAAUUGGAAUGUUGUCACAUAUAACAUAGCCUUUCAGAGGGAUAAAUGUGGAAAAUGUUUUACCCAUGAAUUCCUUAGGAGCAAUUGUGCUCUAUCACGUGAAAGGCUGAGGACCUGGACAGAGCCUAAUGACUAUAUCCCCAAGAUCCCCAAGGUUCAGUGGCUUUCAGGAUGUUGCUCUCCCUGACUCCAUGGACAUCACAGAAUGACAGUUGUCCACUGGAGUAUUCUUCACCCAGGCAGCUUUCUAAAAGAAGGAAAUUUGAGAGUUGCAAGGACAGAUGAGGGGGGUGAGGGCCUGGGAUCCCUUUAUGUGAAACUCGUUAUUGAAGAACAACUUAUACAAUUAUUAUCUGAGGACCAGGUGACAGCUGUCAAGAAGGCCUCCUUGUAAGAGGGUGCAGAAUAUAUGAAAUUUGUCUUUAGGGAAUGAUCUACUACUAAGAGUGAUGCUAUGAGGUUGGCAUCUAAGGAAAAGAAAAGAGGCUGGCAUAUGUUGAGCACCUAGUCUGUGCCAUGAAUUGUGAACUUAACCUUGAAUUCUCAUAUGUUCAUCUAAGGUCUGUUUUCUUUAAGGAGAGAAUGUGACCCUCUUGGUCUGGUGGGCAAGCUGUGAUGAAUGCAGAGCUCUUCAGAUGGAUCAACCCUUUCCUUACUCACUCUACAGCUAUCCUCACCAGACAGACAGACACACAGACAGACAGACAGACACAGGUAGAAGGACAUGCAUUUGGACCAAACACUACAGCAAAGUAGCUCAAAGAUCAUUUCAUACAUCAUAGAUUCAGAUAACUUUCUUCUUUUUACAUAAAUAACUCUAAUUUAAAAUACACAGUCAAACACCAACAUGUUGUUACCAAAAACAAAACAAAACAAAAAAAACCACUAUAAUAUUAUUUGGGGACCCUAAUCUUGUCAAUGAAUCUGUUUAAUUUUGGAGGUAAAAUUAGCCAGGUUUUGAGAUUGAGCUGACUAAUCACAAAACCAGAACUUUCCAUCAGCUGGGGAGGGGCAGUUAAUAACUGCCUCGGGGGGGGGGCGUGGUGGAGAGGAAGGUCUCUCUUUGCAAGACGUUAGCAUGAGAAUUCCCAUGCCAAACGAAGGCCCACAGGAAAUGCCUAGUUGUGGUGAUGACUCCCAGACAGCCCUGCUCGUCAGACCUCCAUUCCAAUCUCUUUUUGGCGCCACCAUGUGAAGAAAUUGUUUUUGUCCUAGGCUACAUCUUUUUGGGAAAAUAGCAGACCGUGAGCUUCUAAACAUCUCAUGAUUGAUAGUUGACAUUUUUCCCAAGAGAUUGGGCCAGGCUCCCAUCAGGGAAUGGGUUGGAGGCAAAAGAGAAUCCUUUAGAGACCUGCAACCUUGCAUUUGGAGAGCUAGGCAGGGACACACGCAUCUCCUACUUUACAAAUAAAGCCAAGAUGACUGGGAUUCUUGAACAAAUGAGCAUGGGACUCCUAGUAUGAGGAAUUAUUGAGUAUCCAUCUUCUGCUUGAAAGUCUUGGGAGUCUUUCAGAUACUUGUAGUCACAGGAAAUCCUCUCUCACUAAAAUGGUCUUUAUGUUUGUGGC